This is a non-coding RNA of Cicer arietinum (chickpea), 1042 nucleotides long. The record is from RefSeq and is a predicted model, not a curated record. Lineage: Eukaryota; Viridiplantae; Streptophyta; Magnoliopsida; Fabales; Fabaceae.
UCUACAGGCCUUCAAUAUGAGUGGAUUUCCUAGUGUUAAUGUAGUGCUCUUAUGCAGCAUUAGUGACUCAAUGUGUUUAGUUAGUUGUGGUCGCAACCAAAAUCUUUAGUAGCUUGUAACAUAAAUCUAUUAUGCUCUGUGUAAUCAAGUGUCAACAGUUAUAUAAAAACUGGUAGCUAUAUGAAGAUGGUAGAUAAUAGAAAAUCUAUCUGCUCAGGCAUCUCAAUACCCCCCUCCCUCUCUAUUUUCUCUCAAUUCCCUUCAUUUUCAUUCACUCUCUUUUAGUCAUCUCUAGCAUUUGGUUGGGGAUGAUCAUCCUCGGCCUUCCGUAGCUGAAGCUUGGCUACCAGUGAUAUGUAGCAUUCCGUCUUCUAUUGUACUUAUAGCUGAUGAGCCAGCAAAUGACUAUGAAAUUAUUAGAACGGCCGCUCAAGCUGAUUCUGGAGAAGCUUUUGCAAAUUCGUCAUCUCUGAGUUUGAAGUGGGAACUUAGCAGCUGUGAGGGACUAGCAUAUUGGGAUUAUGCAUUUGAUAUUGUGAAGUCGAACAUUACUUGGAAGCUGUUGCAAAUGAUUCUCAAGUGGUGGAAGUUAUUCAACCACCUACAGGCCUAGAAUGUCAACAACUGAUUUUGUCCCCUAAAGGAUUAGGAAUAGCUGACCUGACUUUAUAUGACACGGGGCUAACUCCACCAUUAAGAGCAUCUGCACUCGUCCAGGUUGCAGAUAUAGAAUGGAUUAAGAUCCUGUCCGGUGAAGAGAUUAGCCUAAUGGAAGGAAGUUUGCAAACUAUUGAGUUGAUGGCUGGUACAAAUGGAGGAAGCAAUUUUCAUGCUUCCUAGUUUGUUUACAUGAAUCUUCAUAUACAUGUUGAAGAUGCCAUAAUUGAGCUGCUGGACACUGACAAUCUGUCUAGUCUUGUUGGUAGACAUGUUAAUGCACCAAGUUUUAAAAUAAAGGGGAGAUAUCUUGGAAUUACAACAAUUUAUGUAAGUCUACUAUCAACGUGUAUAAACCUGAUCUCAGUCUAACUAAAUUUCUUCA